Molecule: long non-coding RNA, 333 nt
Organism: Cheilinus undulatus (humphead wrasse)
Lineage: Eukaryota; Metazoa; Chordata; Actinopteri; Labriformes; Labridae
Exons: 3
Source: RefSeq, a predicted model, not a curated record
CUUUCCCACACCUGUGUACUACACCUUCUAAUCAGUGUCUCUGUCUUCCUUUCACUGCUUCUGCCAACCACCAGCCUGUACAUUCACCAGCAUUUGGCCUAUUGUUGUCAAAUGAAGUCCAACCUUACUGCGUCGUCUCAUGCUCUGCUUCUGGGUCCUCAUCACCUGAUACCUCGCUCUGAGACCUAAGGAUGUCCAAAAUAUCACUGAUGCCACCUGAGAGUUUGUUCCUGGGAUCAGAGGAUGGUGCAAGCUCCGGAGCGAGGUGUUCGGAGUCCGGAGGCCAGAGAUCUAUGUUGUGCUUCUCCUGUGGCUGUCUCUGUGUCACAGCUC